RNAcentral lists this ribosomal RNA (377 nucleotides) under Grania galbina. RNAcentral's name for it is "partial 12S ribosomal RNA". Lineage: Eukaryota; Metazoa; Annelida; Clitellata; Enchytraeida; Enchytraeidae. The record is from RNAcentral.
UAAAGACCUAUAACUAAGCCGGUCAAUACAAACUACAGUUUUAAAUCCAAAGAAUUUGGCGGUAUCUUAAAUAAUCAGGGGAACCUGUACCUUAAAUUGAUAAUCCACACACAUCUAACCUUAUCUUGAACUUCAGCCUGUGUACUGCUGUCGCCAGUAAACCUCUAAAAGAGUUUACAGCCAUAAUCAUCUUAUCUACGUCAAGUCAAAGUGCAGCCCAUGAUAAGGUGGCUUAUGGGUUACAACUUCCAAACAAACAACGGACUAUUAAAAUAAAAAUAAUACAAAGGUGGACUUGAUAGUAAUAUCUAUUAAACUACUGAUAUAAACUAAAACCUAAGAUAUGCACACAUCGCCCGUCGCUCUCACCCAACUUG